AAAUGAAUAGACGGGGGCCCGCACAAGCAGCGGAGCAUGUGGUUUAAUUCGAAGCAACGCGAAGAACCUUACCAGGUCUUGACAUCCGAUUAAAGCUCAUGAAAGUGAGUGUCCCUUCGGGGGAAUCGAGACAGGUGGUGCAUGGUUGUCGUCAGCUCGUGUCGUGAGAUGUUGGGUUAAGUCCCGCAACGAGCGCAACCCUUGUUAAUAGUUACUAACGCGUAAAGGUGAGGACUCUAUUGAGACUGCCGUGGACAACACGGAGGAAGGUGGGGACGACGUCAAAUCAUCAUGCCCCUUAUGAUCUGGGCUACACACGUGCUACAAUGGGCGCUACAGAGAGGGGCGAAGCCGCGAGGUGGAGCGGAUCUCAAAAAAGCGUUCGAAGUUCGGAUUGUGGGCUGCAACCCGCCCACAUGAAGCCGGAGUUGCUAGUAAUCGCGGAUCAGCAUGCCGCGGUGAAUACGUUCCCGGGCCUUGUACACACCGCCCGU
RNAcentral lists this ribosomal RNA (494 nucleotides) under uncultured bacterium. RNAcentral describes it as "bacterial SSU rRNA". It matches the Rfam family "Bacterial small subunit ribosomal RNA", at positions 903 to 1397 of the family's 1533-position model. The record is from RNAcentral.